AUCCGGAGAGAUUGGGAGGCAACACCAGUGGCGAAGGCGACUAUCUCGCCCGCCAACCGACACCGAGCGCGCGACAGCCCGGGGAGCACACACAGGAUCAGAUACCUGGUAGUCCACCGUAAAGAUGAGUGCUAAGUGUUAGGGGGGUUUCCGCCCUUAGUGUUGUAGUAAACGCAUUUAAGCAUCCGCUUGGGGGAGUACGGGUUGCAAAGACUGAAACUCAAAGGGAAUUGACGGGGGCCCGCACAAGCGGUGGAGCAUGUGGUUUAAUUGAAGCAACGCGAAGAACCUUACCAGGUCUUGACAUCCCGUUGACCACUGUAGAGAUAUGGUUUCCCCUUCGGGGGCAACGGUGACAGGUGGUGCAUGGUUGUCGUCAGCUCGUGUCGUGAGAUGUUGGGUUAAGUCCCGCAACGAGCGCAACCCUUGAUCUUAGUUGCCAUCAUUUAGUUGGGCACUCUAAGGUGACUGCCGGUGACAAACCGGAGGAAGGUGGGGAUGACGUCAAAUCAUCAUGCCCCUUAUGACCUGGGCUACACACGUGCUACAAUGGACGAUACAAACGGUUGCCAACUCGCGAGAGGGAGCUAAUCCGAUAAAGUCGUUCUCAGUUCGGAUUGUAGGCUGCAACUCGCCUACAUGAAGCCGGAAUCGCUAGUAAUCGCGGAUCAGCAUGCCGCGGUGAAUACGUUCCCGGGCCUUGUACACACCGCCCGUCACACCACGAGAGUAUGUAACACCCGAAGUUCGGUGAGGUAUCGUAACAAGGUAGCCAUGCGAUACGUGACG
RNAcentral lists this ribosomal RNA (789 nucleotides) under Lysinibacillus sphaericus. RNAcentral's name for it is "bacterial SSU rRNA". It matches the Rfam family "Bacterial small subunit ribosomal RNA", at positions 686 to 1517 of the family's 1533-position model. Lineage: Bacteria; Bacillati; Bacillota; Bacilli; Caryophanales; Bacillaceae. The record is from RNAcentral.